GUAGGUGGCAAGCGUUGUCCGGAAUUAUUGGGCGUAAAGCGCGCGCAGGCGGGUUCUUUAAGUCUGAUGUGAAAGCCCACGGGCUCAACCGUGGAGGGUCAUUGGAAACUGGAGAACUUGAGUACAGAAGAGGAAAGCGGAAUUCCACGUGUAGCGGUGAAAUGCGUAGAGAUGUGGAGGAACACCAGUGGCGAAGGCGGCUUUCUGGUCUGUAACUGACGCUGAGGCGCGAAAGCGUGGGGAGCAAACAGGAUUAGAUACCCUGGUAGUCCACGCCGUAAACGAUGAGUGCUAAGUGUUAGGGGGUUUCCGCCCCUUAGUGCUGCAGCUAACGCAUUAAGCACUCCGCCUGGGGAGUACGGCCGCAAAGGCUG
This 374-nucleotide ribosomal RNA is filed under the name uncultured organism. RNAcentral's name for it is "partial 16S ribosomal RNA". It matches the Rfam family "Bacterial small subunit ribosomal RNA", at positions 527 to 896 of the family's 1533-position model. The record is from RNAcentral.